Molecule: ribosomal RNA, 84 nt
Filed under: Enterococcus faecium
Lineage: Bacteria; Bacillati; Bacillota; Bacilli; Lactobacillales; Enterococcaceae
Also listed under: 1 other name
Source: RNAcentral
UGGUGGCGAUAGCGAGAAGGAUACACCUGUAACCAUGCCGAACACAGAAGUUAAGCUUCUUAGCGCCGAUUGUAGUGAGGGGUU